AUUGAACGCUGGCGGCAGGCCUAACACAUGCAAGUCGAGCGGAUGAAGGGAGCUUGCUCCUGGAUUCAGCGGCGGACGGGUGAGUAAUGCCUAGGAAUCUGCCUGGUAGUGGGGGAUAACGUCCGGAAACGGGCGCUAAUACCGCAUACGUCCUGAGGGAGAAAGUGGGGGAUCUUCGGACCUCACGCUAUCAGAUGAGCCUAGGUCGGAUUAGCUAGUUGGUGGGGUAAAGGCCUACCAAGGCGACGAUCCGUAACUGGUCUGAGAGGAUGAUCAGUCACACUGGAACUGAGACACGGUCCAGACCCCUACGGGAGGCAGCAGUGGGGAAUAUUGGACAAUGGGCGAAAGCCUGAUCCAGCCAUGCUGCGUGUGUGAAGAAGGUCUUCGGAUUGUAAAGCACUUUAAGUUGGGAGGAAGGGCAGUAAGUUAAUACCUUGCUGUUUUGACGUUACCAACAGAAUAAGCACCGGCUAACUUCGUG
Molecule: ribosomal RNA, 484 nt
Filed under: uncultured bacterium
Lineage: Bacteria
Description: partial 16S ribosomal RNA
Rfam family: Bacterial small subunit ribosomal RNA
Source: RNAcentral